UACAGAGGUGGCAAGCGUUGUUCGGAAUUACUGGGCGUAAAGGGCUCGUAGGUGGCCCCAUAAGUCAGACGUGAAAUCCCUCGGCUCAACCGAGGAACUGCGUCUGAGACUGUGGGGCUUGAAUCCGGGAGAGGGAUGCGGAAUUCCAGGUGUAGCGGUGAAAUGCGUAGAUAUCUGGAGGAACACCGGUGGCGAAGGCGGCAUCCUGGACCGGUAUUGACACUGAUGAGCGAAAGCCAGGGGAGCAAACGGG
Molecule: ribosomal RNA, 253 nt
Filed under: uncultured bacterium
Lineage: Bacteria
Description: partial 16S ribosomal RNA
Rfam family: Bacterial small subunit ribosomal RNA
Source: RNAcentral